CCCUUAGAUGUUCUGGGCCGCGCGCGCGCUACACUGAUGCAUUCAACGAGUCUAAAACCUGCUCUGAUAGGGGUGGGUAAUCUUUUGAAUGUGCAUCGUGAUUGGGAUAGAUGAUUGCAAUUUUUCAUCUUCAACGAGGAAUGCCUAGUAAACGCAAGUCAUCAGCUUGCAUUGAUUACGUCCCUGCCCUUUGUACACACCGCCCGUCGCUCCUACCGAUUGAAUGAUCCGAUGAAUAUCAUGGAUUGAGGAUGCAAGCAGGUUCGCCUGUCUUCAUCUUCGAGAAGUGAAGUAAAUCUUAUCAUUUAGAGGAAGGAGAAGUCGUAACA
This 329-nucleotide ribosomal RNA is filed under the name uncultured eukaryote. RNAcentral's name for it is "partial 18S ribosomal RNA". It matches the Rfam family "Eukaryotic small subunit ribosomal RNA", at positions 1470 to 1796 of the family's 1831-position model. The record is from RNAcentral.